GUAGGUGGCAAGCGUUGUCCGGGAAUUAUUGGGGCGUAAAGCGCGCGCAGGCGGUUCUUUAAGUCUGAUGUGAAAGCCCACGGGCUCAACCGUGGGAGGGUCAUUGGAAACUGGAGAACUUGAGUACAGAAGAGGAAAGCGGAAUUCCACGUGUAGCGGUGAAAUGCGUAGAGAUGUGGAGGAACACCAGUGGCGAAGGCGGCUUUCUGGUCUGUAACUGACGCUGAGGCGCGAAAGCGUGGGGAGCAAACAGGAUUAGAUACCCUGGUAGUCCACGCCGUAAACGAUGAGUGCUAAGUGUUAGAGGGUCUCCGCCCCUUAGUGCUGCAGCUAACGCAUUAAGCACUCCGCCUGGGGAGUACGGCCGCAAAGGCUG
This 376-nucleotide ribosomal RNA is filed under the name uncultured organism. RNAcentral describes it as "partial 16S ribosomal RNA". It matches the Rfam family "Bacterial small subunit ribosomal RNA", at positions 527 to 896 of the family's 1533-position model. The record is from RNAcentral.